GACGUUAGCUCAGUUGGUAGAGCAGCGGACUUUUAAUCCGUUGGUCGCAGGUUCGAAUCCUGCACGUC
RNAcentral lists this transfer RNA (68 nucleotides) under Limnohabitans sp. Its description in RNAcentral is "tRNA-Lys". It matches the Rfam family "tRNA". Rfam says of the family: Transfer RNA (tRNA) molecules are approximately 80 nucleotides in length. Their secondary structure includes four short double-helical elements and three loops (D, anti-codon, and T loops). Lineage: Bacteria; Pseudomonadati; Pseudomonadota; Betaproteobacteria; Burkholderiales; Comamonadaceae. The record is from RNAcentral.